GCUUCCGCCUUCCAAAUACAGCUUUUUAUUUUGCAUUUCUAGAAUUAGCAGCGCCAUCAGCAGGACAGUGAUAUUAAUGGUUAACGGCUGAUCUUACACUCGAGUGAGAGUAGUAAGUUAGACUAGGGAAUCUGUUCAAAGUGCUGUAUCGUAAACAACUGGACUUUUGCUGAGGAAGUAGAAAUACUCAACCGCAAGUAGACCAGACUGCCUUCACAGUAGCACUUGUCAAGUGAACACAGUUUUAAGGACUGAAGUAAGGUUUUGCCCUAAAAGAAUGAGGCUUGGCUGAGCCAGCCUGCUUGGUCUGUGGCCAACCAGAACAUCAGCAGUCCCGUCACCACCACCACACACAUCUUCAGUGUCAGCUUCAGCAUGUCGAGACACUGCAGGAGCAAAGGACAGGACAGAGACGUCACGUUUGCCAAACAAUUAAAGGGACACAUGAACAAGUAAUGAGUAAAGGCAAGUGCGAUUAUGGCUGGAUGAGAUGGCUGCCAAAGUGGAGUCCAGUGGUCAAGAUGGCGUAACAACACGUGCGAGCAUGAAAUCUCUGAAUAAUUUUUUACAAGACACCUCAAGCAGCAACAAAGUCAGGACUUAGAAGCAUCAAGCAGUGUUGUUGUGGAUUGCAACCAACCGAACACCCCUCGCCUCCACCCUUGGCUGUCGAAAAUAUAAGAAGCAUGGAAGACCCUCUUUCGCUGUAGAAACAUGGUGGUGCAACAUGGCCGACCUCGUGAGAGAAGACCUGCUCCUUGCACAUGAAAGGCUCAUUUAUACACAUCAGAGAAACUGACUUCACUAUGGAGAUCUCAGGUCUUCAGCUUGCUCCCUGAAAGGAGGAUACCACAGCCACAACAUGGCAACCUGCGCCACGACGAGGAGGAGAAGGAAGAACAUCCACACCUUCCACCAGGAGCAACAUGGAGUCUGAACAAAGAGGAGAGAGAU
Long non-coding RNA from Acanthopagrus latus (yellowfin seabream), 954 nucleotides. RefSeq lists it as uncharacterized. The transcript has 5 exons. NCBI's taxonomy places the organism in Eukaryota, Metazoa, Chordata, Actinopteri, Spariformes, Sparidae. The record is from RefSeq and is a predicted model, not a curated record.